Molecule: ribosomal RNA, 253 nt
Filed under: uncultured bacterium
Lineage: Bacteria
Description: partial 16S ribosomal RNA
Rfam family: Bacterial small subunit ribosomal RNA
Source: RNAcentral
UACGGGGGGGGCAAGCGUUGUUCGGAAUUACUGGGCGUAAAGGGCUCGUAGGCGGCCAACUAAGUCGGACGUGAAAUCCCUCGGCUUAACCGGGGAACUGCGUCCGAUACUGGAUGGCUUGAGUCUGGGAGAGGGAUGCGGAAUUCCGGGUGUAGCGGUGAAAUGCGUAGAUAUCUGGAGGAACACCGGUGGCGAAGGCAGCUCGCUGGGACGUUACUGACGCUGAGACGCGAAAGCGUGGGGAGCAAACAGG